Molecule: transfer RNA, 76 nt
Filed under: Clostridia bacterium
Lineage: Bacteria; Bacillati; Bacillota; Clostridia
Description: tRNA-Gln
Rfam family: tRNA
About the family: Transfer RNA (tRNA) molecules are approximately 80 nucleotides in length. Their secondary structure includes four short double-helical elements and three loops (D, anti-codon, and T loops). Further hydrogen bonds mediate the characteristic L-shaped molecular structure. tRNAs have two regions of fundamental functional importance: the anti-codon, which is responsible for specific mRNA codon recognition, and the 3' end, to which the tRNAs corresponding amino acid is attached (by aminoacyl-tRNA synthetases). tRNAs cope with the degeneracy of the genetic code in two manners: having more than one tRNA (with a specific anti-codon) for a particular amino acid; and 'wobble' base-pairing, i.e. permitting non-standard base-pairing at the 3rd anti-codon position.
Source: RNAcentral
UGGGAUAUCGUCAAGCGGUAAGACACAGCACUUUGACUGCUGCAUUUCGCUGGUUCGAAUCCAGCUAUCCCAGCCA